Molecule: transfer RNA, 76 nt
Filed under: Ktedonobacteraceae bacterium
Lineage: Bacteria; Bacillati; Chloroflexota; Ktedonobacteria; Ktedonobacterales; Ktedonobacteraceae
Description: tRNA-Ala
Rfam family: tRNA
About the family: Transfer RNA (tRNA) molecules are approximately 80 nucleotides in length. Their secondary structure includes four short double-helical elements and three loops (D, anti-codon, and T loops).
Source: RNAcentral
GGGGCUGUAGCUCAGCUGGGAGAGCGCCUGAUUUGCACUCAGGAGGUCGCCGGUUCGAUGCCGACCAGCUCCACCA